GCCCUCCUUCAUGCUAGUAAACAUGUGUAUAACCCAUUGCCAGGCCUGUGCUGGAACAGAAAGAGAUGUAAGACAUGGUGAUGGAUCUUCACUGAGAACAGAUGUGCUGCCAGAUGAGAAGUAUUGCUACCCUUUUACAGAAUUCUUCAUGUGAUCCAUACAUAAAAAUAAAGCUGUUACUGUUCUCAACUUUCCAGAAAAGACCCUGCCAUGCAACCCAGAGCAGAACGCAUGUCACAAAAGCAGUUUCAGAUUCUCUGGCCCACUCUCCCUUCUGCUCAAGAAAGACUAGAAUACUUCCAAAACAUCUUCUCUCUCAUAAAAACUGCGUGAAGCACCAGCAACACCCUGGCAGGAAUGGAGGGAAAGCCAUGACAAUACCUAUUAUCUCUUACCACAUUUGUGAUUUACUGGCCUGUUUUAUAAACAGAACACCCUUCCCUCCUCACAACAACCAGAUGACUUCCAAAGAGCAAGUCACCCUCUUGUGACAGGUGAGGAAACAGAGGCACUAAGGUUAAGUGUUACUCAGGCUUUCCUCACACAAAAGGUGGCUCUGGAGGAAAUCAGAGAAUGCUUCCAGCUAUAACUCUGCAACCUCAGUGUUAUCACCUGGAAAACUGGGAGGAUUGAAAGGGUAGUACUGACUAAAUCCAUCCACUGGGAUAACAGCUUAACCAUUCUGCACACAGUAACAGUUACAGAGAAAGGGAUCUUUCCCUCUGUUAUCAGUGAAAGGAAACAAUUGUAGACUAACUGGAC
This 762-nucleotide long non-coding RNA is filed under the name Fukomys damarensis (Damara mole-rat). RNAcentral's name for it is "lncRNA (ENSFDAG00000029570.1)". Lineage: Eukaryota; Metazoa; Chordata; Mammalia; Rodentia; Bathyergidae. The record is from RNAcentral.